GCAGGAGGCGGCGGGGUCGCGCUGACCGGGCCCGCCCCGCCCCGCAGAGACGAGAUGGUGAAGGAGACCGAGUAUUAUGACAUCCUGGGGGUAAAGCCCAGCGCCUCCCGGGAGGAGAUCAAGAAAGCCUAUCGCAAGCUGGCGCUCAAGUACCACCCGGACAAGAAGCCGGGUGAGGGCGAGAAGUUUAAACUUACAUCCCAGGCAUAUGAAGUGCUUUCAGAUCCCAAGAAAAGGGACGUUUAUGACCAGGGCGGAGAACAGGCAAUUAAAGAAGGAGACUCAGGUGGCCCCAGCUUCUCUUCACCCAUGGACAUCUUUGACAUGUUCUUUGGUGGUGGAGGACGGACGGCCAGAGAGAGAAGAGGCAAGAACGUUGUACAUCAGUUGUCUGUAACUCUUGAAGACUUAUAUAAUGGAGCCUCAAAGAAAUUGGCCCUCCAGAAAAAUGUAAUUUGUGAGAAAUGUGAAGGCAUUGGUGGGAAGAAGGGGUCCAUGGAGAAGUGCCCGCUGUGCAAGGGGCAGGGGAUGCUGACCCGCACCCAGCAGACGGGCCCGGGCGCGGUGCGGCAGGUCCAGACCGUGUGCGUGGAGUGCAGGGGCCAGGGCGAGCGCGUCAACCCCAAAGGGCGCUGUGGGUGCUGCCGCGGUGCCAAGGUGCCCCGCGAGAGGAAGAUUAGCCAGCUGUUCUCCAAGUGUACCCUGAAUAUUUUGUGGCUUUCUAAUCCCAUAUCAGAGAUGAGACGAAAAGUAAAAGAAUCAACACCCAGAAAGAAGAACACAGGUAUGAAAGAUGGGCAGAAGAUGCUGUUCCACGGAGAAGGAGGUCAGGAACCUGGGCUGGGGCCCGGUGAUGUCAUAAUUGUGCUUGAUCAGAAGGACCGUAGUGUCUUUCAGAGACGAGGCCAUGACUUAAUCAUGAAAAUGAAAAUUCAUCUUUCUGAAGCUCUUUGUGGCUUCAAGAAGACAGUAAAAACCCCGGAUGAUCGGAUUCUUGUUAUUACAUCCAAAUCAGGUGAGGUGAUAAAGCAUGGGGACCUGAAGUGUGUGCGAAACGAAGGAAUGCCCAUCUGCGAAGCACCCCUGGAAAAAGGGACUCUGAUCAUACAAUUUUUGGUAAUCUUUCCUGAAACACACUGGCUUUCUCCAGAAAAGCUUCCUCAGCUGGAAGCUCUGCUCCCUCCUCGACAGAAAGUGAGGAUUACAGAUGACAUGGAUCACGUGGAGCUGAAGGACUUUAAUCCCAGUGAGCAGAGCUGGCGCCAGCACGGGGAGGCCUACCAGGAGGAUGAUGACGGGCCCGGGCCGGAGUGCAGUGCCAGACGGCGUGACAUGGCAGUCAGCGCAGCCCUGCCGGACUAGCACAUGAAGAAUGUAAAGUUGGCACAAUGAAAAUGGCAUCGCUUUAAUGGCCUCGUGUUUGGGGUGUCCUGUGUAUGUGUUCAGCAUUCAAUUGCUAAGUGUCUUUUUGGGUUUUCUUUUGGUUGUAACUCAAGUUAUAGCUUAAUUUAUCUUUAAAUGUUUUAAGUGUAAAUCA
Microcebus murinus (gray mouse lemur) is the source of this 1537-nucleotide non-coding RNA. The record is from RefSeq and is a predicted model, not a curated record. Lineage: Eukaryota; Metazoa; Chordata; Mammalia; Primates; Cheirogaleidae.